UCUGGGAUAACAGAUGGAAACGUCUGCUAAUACCGGAUACUCAGCCUUGUGGGCAUCCACAGGGUUGGAAAGCUCCGGCGGUCAAGGAUGGACUCGCGUCCUAUCAGCUAGUUGGUGGGGUAAUGGCCUACCAAGGCGACGACGGGUAGCCGGCCUGAGAGGGCGACCGGCCACAUUGGGACUGAGAUACGGCCCAGACUCCUACGGGAGGCAGCAGUGGGGAAUAUUGCACAAUGGGCGCAAGCCUGAUGCAGCAACGCCGCGUGCGGGAUGACGGCCUUCGGGUUGUAAACCGCUUUCAGCAGGGACGAAGCGCAAGUGACGGUACCUGCAGAAGAAGCACCGGCUAACUACGUGCCAGCAGCCGCGGUGAUACGUAGGGUGCGAGCGUUGUCCGGAUUUAUUGGGCGUAAAGAGCUUGUAGGCGGUUAGUCGCGUCGUAAGUGCAAACCCAGGGCUUAACCCUGAGCCUGCUUUCGAUACGGGCUGACUAGAGGAAGGUAGGGGAGAAUGGAAUUCCCGGUGGAGCGGUGGAAUGCGCAGAUAUCGGGAGGAACACCAGUGGCGAAGGCGGUUCUCUGGACCUUUCCUGACGCUGAGAAGCGAAAGCGUGGGGAGCAAACAGGCUUAGAUACCCUGGUAGUCCACGCCGUAAACGGUGGGUACUAGGUGGUGGGGGACAUUCCACGUUCUCUGUGCCGUAGCUAACGCAUUAAGUAUUCCGCCUGGGGGAGUACGGUCGCAAGAUUAAAACUCAAAGGGAAUUGACGGGGACCCGCACAAGCGGUGGGAGCAUGUGGCUUAAAUUCGAUGCAACGCGAAAGAACCUUACCUGGACUUGACAUGCCUGGUGGGUAGAAUCCUGAAAAGGGAGAACAA
This 879-nucleotide ribosomal RNA is filed under the name uncultured Actinomycetes bacterium. RNAcentral's name for it is "bacterial SSU rRNA". It matches the Rfam family "Bacterial small subunit ribosomal RNA", at positions 137 to 1017 of the family's 1533-position model. Lineage: Bacteria; Bacillati; Actinomycetota; Actinomycetes. The record is from RNAcentral.